RNAcentral lists this ribosomal RNA (465 nucleotides) under uncultured bacterium. RNAcentral describes it as "partial 16S ribosomal RNA". It matches the Rfam family "Bacterial small subunit ribosomal RNA", at positions 338 to 795 of the family's 1533-position model. The record is from RNAcentral.
CCUACGGGAGGCAGCAGUAGGGAAUUUUCGUCAAUGGGCGCAAGCCUGAACGAGCGAUGCCGCGUGAGUGAAGAAGGCCUUCGGGUCGUAAAGCUCUGUUGCGGGGGAAAAAAGGCAGCAUCAGGAAAUGGGUGCUGACUGAUGGUGCCCCGACAGAAAGUCACGGCUAACUAUGUGCCAGCAGCCGCGGUAAUACGUAGGUGGCGAGCGUUAUCCGGUAUGGUUGGGCGUAAAGGGUGCGCAGGUGGUCCUGCAAGUCUGGAGGGAAACGGAUGCGCCCAACUCAUGCAUGGCUAUGGAAACUGGAGGACUGGAGAGCAGGAGAGGGCGGUGGAACAACAUGUGUAGCGGUAAAAUGCGUAGAUAUAUGGAAGAACACCAGUGGCGAAGGCGGCCGCCUGGCCUGUUGCUGACGCUGAGGCACGAGAGCGUGGGGAGCAAAUAGGAUUAGAUACCCUAGUAGUC